Molecule: ribosomal RNA, 827 nt
Filed under: uncultured cyanobacterium
Lineage: Bacteria; Bacillati; Cyanobacteriota
Description: bacterial SSU rRNA
Rfam family: Bacterial small subunit ribosomal RNA
Source: RNAcentral
CCAAUCGCGUCUGAGUUGCUGUCGGCUCGGGUUGGCUUCUGUGUUCUACUGGCGGACGGGUGAGUAACAUGUUGAAUUCCCGCGUAUGUGCGGGAUAACAGUUGGAAACGGCUGCUGUACCCCAUAUUGGCUAUCAAGUCUAAGAGUUUUCGCCUACGCACGAGCUUGCAUCUGAUUAGCUUGUUGGUGGGGUUAUGGCCUACCAAGGCUUUUAUCAUUAGCUGAUUUGUUAACAUGAUCAGCCUCACUGGGAUUGAUAACGGAACAGACUUCUACGGAAGGCAUCAGUGAGGAAUUUUCCGCAAUGGGUGACACCCUGACGGACCAUUGCCCCGUGGAGGAAGAAUGCCUUAAGGUUGUAAACUCCUUUUCUCAUUGAAGAAGUUCUGACGGUAUUUGAGGAAUACGCAUCGGCUAACUCCGUGCCAGCAGCCGCGGUAAUACGGGGGAUGCAAGCGUUAUCCGGAAUUAUUGGGCGUAAAGAGUUUGUAGGUGGUCAAGUGUGUUUAACGUUAAAUACUAAAUCUUAACUUUAGAGUUGCGUUAAAAACUACUACACUUGAGUAUAGAACGGGCAAAGGGAAUUUCCAGUGUACCGGUGAAAUGCGUAUAUUUUGCAAAGAACACCAACGGCGAAUGCACUUUGCUAGGUUAAUACAGACACUGAGAAACGAAAGCUAAUGGAGCAUACAGGAUUAGAUACCCUGCUAGUCUUAGCUGUAAACAAUGGAUACUAAGUGGUGCUUUUCUGUGCUACUGUACUAACACGUUGAGUAUCUCAGCCUCGGGAGUACUCUAGCAACAGUGAAACUCAAAGGAAUUGACUG